Molecule: small nuclear RNA, 157 nt
Filed under: Helianthus annuus (common sunflower)
Lineage: Eukaryota; Viridiplantae; Streptophyta; Magnoliopsida; Asterales; Asteraceae
Description: sRNA HanXRQr2_Chr05g0204611
Rfam family: U1 spliceosomal RNA
About the family: U1 is a small nuclear RNA (snRNA) component of the spliceosome (involved in pre-mRNA splicing).
Source: Rfam by way of RNAcentral
UAACUUACCUGGACGGGGUCAAUGGGUGAUCAAGAAGGCCCAUGGCCUAGGUUGGUGACCUUCAUUGCACUCAGGAGGGGUGCCCGACUAAGCUCGGCCCAAGUGGUCUAGCCUACGUCAUAAUUUGUGCCAGUCCAUAUUGGUGGGAUUAUAUGGU